Panicum virgatum (switchgrass) is the source of this 872-nucleotide long non-coding RNA. RefSeq lists it as uncharacterized. Lineage: Eukaryota; Viridiplantae; Streptophyta; Magnoliopsida; Poales; Poaceae. The record is from RefSeq and is a predicted model, not a curated record. The transcript is spliced from 4 exons.
AUGCUGCGGCGAUUUUGGAGGGCCGCCGCGCGGGUGAAGGCCGGGUUGUUCUGUCGCCGUUGACCUCGUUCUACCAGGGGCAGCACAACCAUUCCCCUCAAUGUCCAGUUAUCUGUUAAAAGGAAGAAUCCCACAGGACAUGAUUCUGUUGUUAACAGUAUCGGAGUUGCGCAUGCCCGUAGGCCCCUUGAUUGUGAAAACAACCUGCAAUCCAAUACCAAUCAGGUUAUCAUUUCAUCUUCUCAUAUAAAUUUGAUGGAAGAAUUUGUAGCGUUCUGUAAGAGUAAGAAAGCAGAGCAAGCUCGUAAAUGCAGUCAACAUCCCAAGAUAAAUCUUCACAACAGUCCCCUUGCUGAUAAGAAUAGAUUCAAGGACAGAGUUGUGGCAUUAUAUGGUGAUUACUUGCCUAUUGAGGUAAAUUCAUUUUACUCAAUUUUUCUAAAAUUCCUUUUGCAUGUGUAUGUUGUUUAUGUAUUUUCAUUUCUUACCACUCUUAUUGAAUGUAUAUCUUGUUUAGUUGUUCCGGUUUCUUUCAAUACUUCUUUUUCUUCUUAUUAUUAUUCAGUUUAGGGAAUAUCUUGUUUGUUGGGUUGCUGUUCAGCCUUUCUUGUUGAUCAAUUUGUAGUGUUCAUUAUUAGAUGUCUUGUGUUUCAGUGAUUUGCCAAAGGGCCACGUGAGAAGUUGAUGUGAGCAUGUGUGGCUGAACCGUUCCGUGUUAAGAACCAUUCAAUAAUUUGGAUUGCUCAGUUUAAGAUCAUUAUAAUUUUAGUUUAUCAAAAUAAUUUGGUGAAAAAUAGGCUGUAUAUAUAUACCAUACCACAGCGGGGCUUCCCCUGCUGUACAGUUUUCAAAAAAAGAAAAAAGAAAAACAG